ACGCUCGACACCUACGGAAGGCAGCAGUGGGGAAUAUUGGGCAAUGGGCGAAAGCCUGACCCAGCAACGCCGCGUGAGGGAAGAAGGUUUUCGGAUUGUAAACCUCUGUCCUCAGGGACGAAGGACGUGACGGUACCUGAGGAGGAAGCCCCGGCUAACUACGUGCCAACAGCCGCGGUAAUCUGAGCGGGCUGGCAAGGC
Molecule: ribosomal RNA, 201 nt
Filed under: uncultured bacterium
Lineage: Bacteria
Description: partial 16S ribosomal RNA
Rfam family: Bacterial small subunit ribosomal RNA
Source: RNAcentral